Molecule: long non-coding RNA, 379 nt
Organism: Zophobas morio
Lineage: Eukaryota; Metazoa; Arthropoda; Insecta; Coleoptera; Tenebrionidae
Exons: 2
Source: RefSeq, a predicted model, not a curated record
AUACAGCCUGCCAGGGUGUGCAGACCUUACAACGUUUUUUGUUAUACAAAACCAUGAAUGUCAUCGGAAAAGUUGCCAAAGCAGGUGCCACCCAGUGGGAGUAGUAGCAGCUGAAAAAGCAGCAGAAACAGGAACAAAGAAAUUAAUUACCACAGAAACGUAUCUCCGUAUUGUUAACAAUUCAAAUAGCAACAUAAUUUCUACUCAAGUCAGCGAAACUGACUCUUUUGACUGGUCUAGCUCAGGUCCUGCUGGUAAUUUUCAGAAGAGAAAAAUCCCCAUUGGCGAUCAUUGGGAGGAAAGAGAAGAUGUUAAUUUUUUUGCUUCGAAUUGUCCAUUUACCAUGUUGCUGAGAUUUGCUGACGGUAGUAAAAAUAAA